Molecule: ribosomal RNA, 726 nt
Filed under: Streptococcus sp. HGH0320
Lineage: Bacteria; Bacillati; Bacillota; Bacilli; Lactobacillales; Streptococcaceae
Description: bacterial SSU rRNA
Rfam family: Bacterial small subunit ribosomal RNA
Source: RNAcentral
AGUAGGACGCACAGUUUAUACCGUAGCUUGCUACACCAUAGACUGUGAGUUGCGAACGGGUGAGUAACGCGUAGGUAACCUGCCUAUUAGAGGGGGAUAACUAUUGGAAACGAUAGCUAAUACCGCAUAACAGUAUGUAACACAUGUUAGAUGCUUGAAAGAUGCAAUUGCAUCGCUAGUAGAUGGACCUGCGUUGUAUUAGCUAGUAGGUAGGGUAAUGGCCUACCUAGGCGACGAUACAUAGCCGACCUGAGAGGGUGAUCGGCCACACUGGGACUGAGACACGGCCCAGACUCCUACGGGAGGCAGCAGUAGGGAAUCUUCGGCAAUGGGGGGAACCCUGACCGAGCAACGCCGCGUGAGUGAAGAAGGUUUUCGGAUCGUAAAGCUCUGUUGUUAAGGAAGAACGAGUGUGAGAAUGGAAAGUUCAUACUGUGACGGUACUUAACCAGAAAGGGACGGCUAACUACGUGCCAGCAGCCGCGGUAAUACGUAGGUCCCGAGCGUUGUCCGGAUUUAUUGGGCGUAAAGCGAGCGCAGGCGGUUAGAAAAGUCUGAAGUGAAAGGCAGUGGCUCAACCAUUGUAGGCUUUGGAAACUGUUUAACUUGAGUGCAGAAGGGGAGAGUGGAAUUCCAUGUGUAGCGGUGAAAUGCGUAGAUAUAUGGAGGAACACCGGUGGCGAAAAGCGCUCUCUGGUCUGUAACUGACGCUGAGGCUCGAAAGCG